This 434-nucleotide ribosomal RNA is filed under the name uncultured Lachnospiraceae bacterium. RNAcentral describes it as "bacterial SSU rRNA". It matches the Rfam family "Bacterial small subunit ribosomal RNA", at positions 341 to 792 of the family's 1533-position model. Lineage: Bacteria; Bacillati; Bacillota; Clostridia; Lachnospirales; Lachnospiraceae. The record is from RNAcentral.
ACGGAAGGCAGCAGUGGGGAAUAUUGGACAAUGGGGGAAACCCUGAUCCAGCGACGCCGCGUGAGUGAAGAAGUAUUUCGGUAUGUAAAGCUCUAUCAGCAGGGAAGAUGAUGACGGUACCUGACUAAGAAGCCCCGGCUAACUACGUGCCAGCAGCCGCGGUAAUACGUAGGGGGCAAGCGUUAUCCGGAUUUACUGGGUGUAAAGGGAGCGUAGGCGGCCGCGCAAGUCAGGUGUGAAAACCCGGGGCUUAACUCCGGGACUGCACAUGAAACUGUGAGGCUGGAGUACGGGAGAGGCAAGUGGAAUUCCUAGUGUAGCGGUGAAAUGCGUAGAUAUUAGGAGGAACACCAGUGGCGAAGGCGGCUUACUGGACUGACAAUGACGCUGAGGCUCGAAAGCGUGGGGAGCAAACAGGAUUAGAUACCCUGGUA